This 253-nucleotide ribosomal RNA is filed under the name uncultured bacterium. RNAcentral describes it as "partial 16S ribosomal RNA". It matches the Rfam family "Bacterial small subunit ribosomal RNA", at positions 524 to 776 of the family's 1533-position model. The record is from RNAcentral.
UACAGAGGUCCCAAGCGUUGUUCGGAUUCACUGGGCGUAAAGGGUGCGUAGGUGGUCGGGUAAGUCCGAUGUGAAAUCUCCAGGCUCAACCUGGAAAUGGCAUUGGAUACUAUCCGGCUUGAGGAGUGGAGGGGGGACUGGAAUUCUCGGUGUAGCAGUGAAAUGCGUAGAUAUCGAGAGGGACACCAGUGGCGAAGGCGAGUCCCUGGACACUUCCUGACACUGAGGCACGAAAGCUAGGGGAGCAAACAGG